UACAGAGGGUGCAAGCGUUGUUCGGAAUUAUUGGGCGUAAAGCGCGUGUAGGCGGCCUUGCAAGUUGGGUGUGAAAGCCCUCGGCUUAACCGAGGAAGUGCGCCCAAAACUACAAGGCUUGAGUAUCGGAGAGGAUGGUGGAAUUCCCGGUGUAGAGGUGAAAUUCGUAGAUAUCGGGAGGAACACCAGUGGCGAAGGCGACCAUCUGGCCGAAUACUGACGCUGAGACGCGAAAGCGUGGGGAGCAAACAGG
Molecule: ribosomal RNA, 253 nt
Filed under: uncultured bacterium
Lineage: Bacteria
Description: partial 16S ribosomal RNA
Rfam family: Bacterial small subunit ribosomal RNA
Source: RNAcentral